CUCGUGUACAUUCUUAAUCAGACAGCAUGGAUUUUACAAAGUUCUUACAAAUCGCAUUUUUCGUAUUUGCGUUGGUGUUCGCGUGCUGGGGUCAGCAAAUAAUUACACAACGAUUCGACACUGAGACGAAUUCAGCUCCCAUGCGCCACGUUCGACAAAUGUCCAUAUUCCAUGUGCCACAACGUCCAUCGCCCUGCGGCUAUACACAUAAUGGAAAACGUCGAAGGAGAUGUUAAAGUUGACGGCGAUAUAUACUUUGUGAUACGAUCAAAUAUCUACUUUACUUAUAAUUAAAUUAUAAUCUAGACUCUAGAGUGUAAGAAAGAGCGUGAGCAGAACUAUGUGCUGCUCUAUCAACACCAUGUCAUUCAUAUGUCCAAUCAGCCAUUCAUUCAUAACUUUUAUACAUAUAUUGUUGUUGUGAUAAAAAAAAUAUUAUAACUGUUAUCCAUGGGUGUUGCUGUUGUUUGUAUGUAUGGAAAAUAUAUUCUAGGAGAUCAUAUUUAUUUGUAUGGAUGGAAAAUAUUUUUUUAUUUUCAUUUCGUUUUUUUUUGCUUUUGUAAACAUCUCAAUGUAAAAAUGAUGCCCAUAUCACCAUCUCAUCGUGAACAUGAACCACAACCAUACUUUCAUUCAGCCAGUAAACCAGCCAUCCAUCUGUCCAUCCACUCACUCCAUCCAUUCCUCAGUAGGCAACAUUAUGCUUAUCAGUUGUUGCCUGGCUGUAAAACUUUAUGGUUCAUUUAUUUACACGCUAAAAUAUUUAAAUAGUGCUACAAAUUGAAAAAAAAAAAAAAACAAAAUUAUAUUUAUCCUAAAUUAAAACAACAAAAAUCAAAAACCGGAACUUCAAAUCCUACAACAACAAUGCAUUUCGGUGCCAUAUUACUAAUACUGAUCCUGGUGCUAACUACUCUGGUGCUCUGCGCUCAAAGUAAAUCUGUGAAUACGGAAUUUAUUAAAUCACGACAGCGAGUUUUGUCCACGAUGAAGGCCAAUUCCAAAUCCCGAAUAUUGAGUCCCAUGAUUUUGAAAGUGCCUAGGCAGCAUGAAUUUUGCGGCCGAACACACAAGGGCAAACCGUUACGUUGUAAAUAAAUAACAUUAGACUGCGAAUUGAAACGCAAAUGCACGAGACACCAACAACACCACCAUCAAAGGCUGGAUGGUGAUGGUGAUAAGAAUUGGGAAUCAUCUCAUUGCCAUUAAAAAAGUGCCAAUCGCCGCCUUUAAUCAAUAUAAUUUGAAUUUAGAUGCUAAGCAUGAUUAGCCAUAGAAUCGAUAAUAGUAUUAAACAAAAAUAAACAAAUUAGUUGUCUAAGUAGACUUAAGAGAUCUCCGGCCAUUUCCAUGGUGGGAAUUUAGAAUAUACUCAAAUUGAGUUGCAAAAUAAAUAUUUCAUAAAUGUAAAAAAAAAAACAACAGCAGCAGCCG
Long non-coding RNA from Musca domestica (house fly), 1434 nucleotides. RefSeq lists it as uncharacterized. NCBI's taxonomy places the organism in Eukaryota, Metazoa, Arthropoda, Insecta, Diptera, Muscidae. The record is from RefSeq and is a predicted model, not a curated record. The transcript is spliced from 3 exons.